AGUGAACGCUGGCGGUAGGCCCAACACAUGCAAGUCGAACGGCAGCACAGUAAGAGCUUGCUCUUACGGGUGGCGAGUGGCGGACGGGUGAGGAAUACAUCGGAAUCUACUUUUUCGUGGGGGAUAACGUAGGGAAACUUACGCUAAUACCGCAUACGACCUACGGGUGAAAGCAGGGGAUCUUCGGACCUUGCGCGAUUGAAUGAGCCGAUGUCGGAUUAGCUAGUUGGCGGGGUAAAGGCCCACCAAGGCGACGAUCCGUAGCUGGUCUGAGAGGAUGAUCAGCCACACUGGAACUGAGACACGGUCCAGACUCCUACGGGAGGCAGCAGUGGGGAAUAUUGGACAAUGGGCGCAAGCCUGAUCCAGCCAUACCGCGUGGGUGAAGAAGGCCUUCGGGUUGUAAAGCCCUGUUGUUGGGAAAGAAAAGCAGCAGGUUAAUACCCCGCUGUUCUGACGGUACCCAAAGAAUAAGCACCGGCUAACUUCGUG
RNAcentral lists this ribosomal RNA (492 nucleotides) under uncultured bacterium. RNAcentral describes it as "partial 16S ribosomal RNA". It matches the Rfam family "Bacterial small subunit ribosomal RNA", at positions 29 to 507 of the family's 1533-position model. The record is from RNAcentral.